GGAGUUGGAGUUUGUUGGCUGGGCUGUGAGGAAGGAGGAGUCAGUGCUGUGAGGAGAUGCCCGUGAGAAGUCACCAAAAGAAAUAACAGCAAUCAUGGAUGGAUUCCCAGGCUUCCUUCAGCCAGCAGCUGUGCACAUCCAGCAAAGCCUCAGGAUGUCUGAUCAUGCUUCAAAGGCCGCUGCUGAGAUCCAGGCCAAAACCCAUUGUGAGAAAAGCUGGGAGCAAGAAAGCAGCACUUGGCUUGUGGGAUGGGUGACCUCCCUGGAGCUGGGUGUGUGACUGGGUGCUUGGACUCCUUGGUUUUCUUGGGAACUGUAGAAGGUUUCCUGUUAUUUCCUAUGGAAGCCAAGGGCUGUGUGUGGCUUGUGUUUGACUGACAGCAAUGAAUUUGUUGGACAUUCAGCUCUGAGUGAACCUGAAGGCAUUCUUCUCUCAGCCCCUGGAAGGCAGUGAGUGCUUGACUUCAGAGAGCUCGUGCUUUGAAGGUUAAUACAUUAGCCUGGAGGAAUGUCCUCUUCUGAUUUGAAAUCUUGUGAGCAUCUAAAGCAAAGAAACUCCAUUUAACAUGAAAAAUGGUGCAGUAUGGUGAGGUUUUCAAAAUUAAACCAGCCCCUGGCAACACAGGACAACAUGAGCUUCUCCUUCCCAGGUCUCCCUUUUGUUCAGCGUAAUACUCACAGCAUCCAGCAGAUCUUCCUGGCACAGAAUGACUGAACAAACUACUUGCAAGGAGUUAAGCAGGUGUUUGAAAGCACUCAAACCUUCCAGCUUCAGGACAAGACAGCUGUUUCUCAAUACUUUUUCAAGGCAUGUCCUGAGCAACAGGAUGCUUUGUCUCCCUGAGGCAAAGUGGAGGCCCUUUUUGAAAUAUUGUGCCAUUUGAUUUCCCUUGUUUCUUAGUUUUAUUCUCAGGUUGCCACAAAACUUUGUCAGUGUGUAGCAAUUUCAGGACUCAAAUGAAGCUCUGAGGGAUUGAAAUGUGUCUUCAUCCCUGGGAGGAGGCAGCAGCUGUGCAUCCAAAAGGACAGCUGCUUU
Molecule: non-coding RNA, 1036 nt
Organism: Zonotrichia albicollis (white-throated sparrow)
Lineage: Eukaryota; Metazoa; Chordata; Aves; Passeriformes; Passerellidae
Source: RefSeq, a predicted model, not a curated record